RNAcentral lists this ribosomal RNA (519 nucleotides) under uncultured bacterium. RNAcentral's name for it is "bacterial SSU rRNA". It matches the Rfam family "Bacterial small subunit ribosomal RNA", at positions 56 to 566 of the family's 1533-position model. The record is from RNAcentral.
UGCAGUCGGGCGGUAACAGGAAGUGCUUGCACUUUGCUGACGAGCGGCGGACGGGUGAGUAAUGCAUAGGAAUCUGCCUGAUAGUGGGGGAUAGCCCAGAGAAAUUUGGAUUAAUACCGCAUACGCCCUACGGGGGAAAGGAGGGGAUCUUCGGACCUUCCGCUAUCAGAUGAGCCUAUGUCGGAUUAGCUUGUUGGUGAGGUAACGGCUCACCAAGGCGACGAUCCGUAGCUGGUCUGAGAGGAUGAUCAGCCACACUGGGACUGAGACACGGCCCAGACUCCUACGGGAGGCAGCAGUGGGGAAUAUUGGACAAUGGGCGCAAGCCUGAUCCAGCCAUGCCGCGUGUGUGAAGAAGGCCUUCGGGUUGUAAAGCACUUUCAGCGAGGAGGAAAGGAUGGUUGCUAAUAUCAACCGUCUGUGACGUUACUCGCAGAAGAAGCACCGGCUAACUCCGUGCCAGCAGCCGCGGUAAUACNNNNNGGNGCGAGCGUUAAUCGNAAUUNCUGGGCGUAAAGC